This is a non-coding RNA of Paramormyrops kingsleyae, 7345 nucleotides long. The record is from RefSeq and is a predicted model, not a curated record. Lineage: Eukaryota; Metazoa; Chordata; Actinopteri; Osteoglossiformes; Mormyridae.
UGCUGCUGAGGAUCUUCUUCUGGUGUCCGGCCAGCGUCACGCCCAUCUUCCCCAGCUCGCUGUGAGAACAACAGGGCCAUGGGGAGCCUAGUAACCCUUGUAAAGGCCCAACGAAGAGCCACCAUUCGGGUGAUCCUUGCAGCCCCCGCUCUCCAAGACCCAUCCAUGAGGCCGUGUGGUGAGGGCACUAUUCCCAGUUUGGACAAUUUUCCAGCAGGCCUUUAAUGGUUCUCCAAUGCUUUGUUGGCACACGUCACUGGGAAAGACUAAGACACUGUGGUAUGAGUGGGAAAUCAGAUCGGAGCUCAGAGAAUAGAUCUGGAUUCUGAGUACAGCCUGAAUGCUGAAAUAGACAGAUAUUUGCCCAAUAAAUACCUAAUUAUUUUACCUUAAGCUGAGCAAGGCCUCCCAUCUUGUUUUCAUUUUUGUUUUUUUUCCAAAGGUUUCAUCAGAGUUUGGACUUGCUGAACCUCUCUUUCUCUCUCUCUGCCUCUCAGCAAUACAGAUAUGCCAUGUGAGGGGUGACCCGGGCGGCCGUGGGGAAAACUGAGAUGAAUCGCAGCCCCGAGGAUGGGCCGCUGAUGUCUAAAUCAUAGUGCAGAUGAAAACACUGGACACCUGUAAAUUCCUCCAGGUCAGAGGGACACUCACAUCCUGAUUGGACAUCUCCCAGUAGGGCCGCUCGCCGUACGAUAUGACCUCCCACAUGACGAUGCCGUAGCUCCACACGUCGCUGGCGGAUGUGAACUUCCGAUGGUCACAUAUUUUUAAAGAUAGAGGACAACAGCCACUCACUGCUCAGACAAGUCAAGGAUGGUCUUACCCUGGUGGUGUAGGCGGCCUCCGGGUCGUCCUCCAGGACGCGGGACAGGCCGAAGUCGGACACCUUGCACACCAGGUUGCUGUUGACCAGGAUGUUCCUUGCUGCCAGGUCGCGGUGCACGUAGCUCAUGUCUGACAGCCCGCCAAGACACUGGAUGCUCCUGGCAAAGCAUGCUUGGAAGGGUGGAAGCCCACAAGGGUCGGCGUGGUAGUGGAUGCACGGCCGGGACCGUGUCUGUCGUCCAUGUUCACCCAUCCAUCUCUGCUGCAUUUCCAUGUUCCGCCCGGCCAGAGGCAGCAGGUGUGAGAAGGGCGACAGGAAGAUUGCAACAGCUGCCCUACAACUAAUGUCGCUGUCACUCCGGACACAGCAGGACAACUGAGGAAACUCAUGGUGGGGGGAUGGGUGGGGAGACUGCGAUGGCUGACCAUCUGACGUCCGUUGUCAGCCCUCCGAAUGAGCGCUCCGUCACAUAGAUGGAUGGGAGGGCCACGGGAAUUGAUCCUGCGGGAAACGUCGUGGUCUUGCUGGACAGAUGCUGGUGACCGACUGGACUCAGCAUGGUCAAGGUAGAAGUAUAUCUGUAUAUCUGUGUGUGUAUGUGUGUGUCUGUCUGCAAGGAUCGCAUGGGUUAAAUGACUGCUGUACCCUGAAGGACUGAUAGGUUUAUAAAGAGGCACAUUUACCAGACUUAAAUCUGGCCCUAAAAAUCUGGGAAAAUAGUCCAAGAAAACAGAUAUAAUACUAUUGCUAUGACUAGUGUGCAAAAUACAGGGGAGUCCGGGGUGGAUCCGACACCCCUGAUUAACCCAUGAGACCCCCUGAAAGCCUCAAAAGCAACAUUUUAAGGGGGUCUCAAGAUCGGUAUUGCGCAACAAUAGGGAGAUGGGGACCCCCCCCCCCCAAAUAUUGACAGGUAUUUCGCUCACUGGCUAUGACAUAUUUAGUGCUAUAUCCGGUAUUCUGGGUAACGGACUUCCUCAGGAGAAUAAAAAUAAUAAGAAAGGCUAAAUUCUUGAUCUAAUAAAAGGACAUGUGAAAAAUCGCUUGGGCUGGGUGUAGAAGUCACUGCAAGUUACCCAUGCGUUUUCAGUUCACUGCCCUGCUGAUCAGAACCAGCACAAUCUCUCCAAUGACCGGGCCUCCGAUAGCGUCACAGUCCUAAGCCCAAACACGCCAGUCCCGGCUGGAUGCCCUGACCGCUUAAGACAACAGUCCGUGAAAGGUGAAGAAACUCCAGAGGGCAAAACAAGGACAGAGCACUUUGGGCCACCACCAAUCCGAGCUGUGAUCUGUGAAAUUGGUCUGGAUCUGCUGCCAUCAUCCCCUACGCUGAGUGCCAGUGACCCCACCCCAGCCCUUGAUGACAUCACUGUGGAGCCCCUUAUCCAUGCUGUCUAGUCAUGGUCUGAAGACCCAAACACUGUGUCAGCCCAUGACAGGAGAAGCCAAGAGAGCCCCCUCACCCCUGCCGCCUGCACCUCAACCACACCUGACCGGGAGCCAUAUCCUCUACACGACCCUCAAUAACCCUCGGCCUAUAUUACAUUUUAAAAUUUAAUGUUCACUUUAGGAUGACAGGAAGAGCGGAGGCAGAGAUGGUUCCUCAUUCAGGUUUCACAACCCAUACUGACUUUUUUGUUAUUUUCCCUCCCUUCUUACUUUUUAACAUAAGGCAGAAUUAUUAAUACGGUUUCUCACCGCGGAAGGCAAGUGAAAGUCAUGAGGCUUUUAUUAGGCAUGGUGUAGCCACACUGGAAAUUAAUAUGAGUGCAAUGUUAGCAACAACACAUGCUGCUGCAGGCAAAUGGACUUUGGGUAGCUCUUGCACCGGCCUGUGGAGCCCAAGUCAGUAUAAGCUGUGAAGUGCACUAUGUUGUAUCAUUAAGAGCGCCCCCUAGCAGCAGGAAUAAAUUGGGGGAGGCGAGAAUCAACCACAGGCAUCAACUGCCCCUACGCAAAUCAUCCUAAAACACAGAAAAUGUUCAUAGCGACCCAUCAUUUAACUCUUCCAUCUUGAUCUGUAUUAUAUUUGGAUGGUUUAAACUGUAGUUGAACAUCAUGUAAACACAGAUAAUUAGCUGCAGCAAUGGAACCCCAUCUGGACAAGUUUCCAUCGCGGAUGUCAGGGGACCAGGGGCCGCGGGCUGUCUGGUGGGGAUGAUACUGGAUGGGGUGGCAUGGAAGAUUGUCUGUUUUGCCUGAGGCACUGAUCAGAGGGGUGCGUCCAUCGGGCUUGGCGAAUAUUACGGUCUAUAGAGGAAAAUGAAUCACAGCGAACCUUGUGGCAAUGAAAGUUCAUGUGCACGCGUGUGUGUAUUAUCCCAUUUUUUAAAUAAAUGAGCAGAAGUAAAUCUUUACAUUGGAAAGGCAACCAGUUCACAACUUGCCAACCCUUUGUUGUAAACUCAGGCAAAGCUCCAGUGAAAGCAGCAGGAGGCACUGAAUGGCCAUCAGACUCUCACGAGAGAGAAGAAGAAACUUGGGAAGAGCUAAUUGGGCUGCAAUCCAAGGUUUUAUGUCAUCUACUGAAAACCACUUAAACGUACAAAGAAAAACAACAACAUGGAGGGCAACAGCAAAUCCUUCAGUGCUGGGUAGGGUAGGUGCGUACUCAGGUGGCGCCGGUUUACCACCCCACACUCAAAGGAGCUGUAAAAACGUCUGAGAGACACUUCCGAAUUAUUGCCACAAGAUAAUGUUUAAUUGCCCAUCUCGGUUGUCUCGUGUCUCUUGCCUUAUUGAAAUGGUGUGAAUCCAACCGUAGCCUUUCAUUUGGCAAUAAGCGCAUGACCUUGGAAUUAGACCCACUGUAUACUAACCUCCCUGAGCACAACUGUUAAAAAGGUUUUUGUGGGUGUGAGAUCAGCAUACACCCACAUCCCUACUGUUUAACCCUCUGUCGCUGUGGGGAUUCUCCGGUGAAGCUGUACCAAAAUGACAUUUAGUUACUAUGUCUGGUCUGUGGUCCCUUAUGAAGAUGUUCAGUGGCUGCUUUAAAAAAUGGAUUGCAUGGUCUGAAGGUGCUUGAUGAAAAUGUAGGAUAUCUCUUCAAGUUCACUGCAUGAUUAAGGCAGCUGAUCAAGGAUAUACAGAUAAACGCUAUUGAAUAUCUCGGAAAACCUUGUCUCGAAUAAGGUUAAAGACUCAGAACGUCGACGAAGCAAAGGUACAUUGACUGAAUCUGCAUUAAAACCACAGAUAGUGGCCCCAAUUAGAUUUAAGAGAGAAGAGCUUGUCAACAUUCAAUAAUGAACUCAUUAAUGAAGCUAGAUCCAUUGUUAAUGGAUUCCUUUGUUGUUUUUAAAGGAUAAUAAGCAGGCAUAUGGUGGGGGGUGGGGGGGCGCUCUUGGGUGCCAGCGAGUUACAUUUGUGUCAGACGCAGAGGUUUAGAAAGAAAAGAAGGUGACAUUUCAUAAUAGAAUUAGUAUCCAUAAUCGUUCUUGAAAGUGAAAAGGUAGGUGUAUCGCCUGUUGAUCCUUCAGUCACGCCGAAACUCGCCUGAUGAGUGUGGCCGUGCGUGCAUCUCCCCAGGAUAGGGCCUGUAAUCAUCCGAUUGCGGAUGACCUGUGAGAGGGAGGGAACCUGGGAGGGGCUUUUUACUCCACUGCUUUAAUCACUUGUGGUGGGCCCUCCAGUUAAAGCAAAUCAGUGGCACUCACUCAUUUUGUCUGCAUCAACAGACGAAAUGAGGGGAUCCGAAGGUGAGCGGAGUCUCUGCAGUGCCGGGAUCUGGGUGUACAUGACUGCCAGCCCGGUAGCGUGGCAUGGAUACCCAUUGGAAAGAAUCAAAUGACCCCUCUGCCCAUAUCAGAACAUCCCAACUGCCCCAUCUGUAUGCAUCACACUGCUUUAUUUAUUGUAAUAAGAAUCUUAAAUCUUAUAUUUACUUGUGCCCAACAAACUGGGGUCUGUUCCUCAGAAGCUGUUUUUCAAGCCAUAGAGUUAGUACGUCUUCAUUGUCUCUAACUGGAACCAUGGAGGAAUAUGGAUGGGAUCAUGGCAUCAUUCAGGUGGGUGGAGACAAGGUGGGGAAUGGAACAUGGGCAUCUGACUGGUGAUAACAAGGAAUGCUCAGUUAGCAAGUGGUGUCUCUCUUUUGAUCUCCAUGAAACCCUACCAGGAGAAAGGCUGCUAUUGACAGAUGUCAGACUGCGGUGCGUCAGAUUAGCAGUAACAGCAUGAAAAGCCAUUCAGUUCUAAGAACAGUGCAUGAGCUCAUGCAGAGGUCCCAAAAACAAAGGGGAAGACCAAACCCACAAGUCAAUAUCAGACCAAAUUACUACUACUAAUUACUCCUCGGACAGAGUGCUCUCAGUUCUGGACCAGACCUGAAGCAGAAAAAUUCACUUUUUAUCCUUGAACAAUCAAAUGGCGUAACUUGAAAAUGACGUGUGUCUGUUGGUUUGUGUAAGCAGAGUGAUAUUACACUGGCUUUUUUUAAAACAUACAUUAGGAACAAAGUUACGUAUUUUAGUUUCUUCUUGAGGAGAACGAGGACAAAGGGAGACGAAAGCGGCCUGGUGAACACACUCCAUCUGCUGACUGGUGCGUGCCAGUCGCUCAUACCCGCCUGCCUGCCAGGUCUGUUAAAUCGGAGUGGCGGCUAUUUCAAUAACGCGGCCGGCGCCCACUGAUGAACCCGUCUGCGAGUUUUUGGCUGUUAGCGGCAGCACCGUCACACCCACAGCUAAUUGGCACACAGCAGCGCAGGCAGGCAUGGGCAUUUGAUACCCGCGACAGCCACACGCAGCCAGGUUUUCAGCCUCCCCUCACACGCAACGAGCCCGCUUGUAAAUAAACUCUUCUCCUCAUAACUGUCCAAUUCAGAGAGGUGGGGGAAAGGCUCUGUCACAAGAUUUCAAUGGGAAUAUGAUUCUGUGCAGGACCUCACACUGACGUAGCCACUGUGUCCCUUCCUCUAUGCCGGCCAUAACCAUGGGAUAUGUGGCGGCCAGUAGCUGUAGACGUCAACAAUACAGCAAAAAAAAAAUAAAAAAUGUGGCAGUGUUCACUCCUUGGCUGCAGAGAAAUGGAAAUAGACAGCAUGCAAAAAAAAAUCAGUCUGACCACUGCUGAAAAAUUAUUUAAGGCAGCUAUUAAAUUUACAAAGCCUGCUUUACUUGUAUGGAAUGGAAGAAAGCAUUCACUAACUGUAAAUAAAUGUUACUAAAUGAUUCAGUGUAUGGACGUCUUUAACUUCAAGCAGACGUUUUGUUUGUAUUUGGUUCUUUCAUUUAUUCUGGUUUAAUGGACAAAUAAAGUACCAUACACAUGUUCAGAGACUAGUCAGACUAUGUUUCCUGUUACCCUGUGGACAAAGCCAAGGUCGGCCCACCUCCCCCAGCCCAGCUAUUUAACCCAGAGCUCUUCAGCUGUUUGAGGGUCUCUUCCAUCACCGGUGUUCCCUCUGGGGCUGGUCUGUAGGACAUUCGGUCAAUGUGCUGAGUUCUGUGACCCGUGACAGUUUCAUCUGGACCCACUACCCAGCAAGACUGCCAUGUGCUCAGGUGAUCGGCCGACAUUACAGGUGAUGAUUUCUGCAUUAAGAUUCACGCACACACAUACACGAACACUUUGAUGCCUUGACUUUAUAGUCCACACAGCAAAUGCACAGCUAAUUUGUCUUCUGGAAAACUCCCAAUCCAAAUAUAACAUUCUAGUGGCUUUUCUGUUGACGCCUAAUUCAUUUAUCAAAACAAAUCAUUACUGGAACAAAAUGACAUUGGUGUCACUAGAAGAAGGGACUAUGGGUAAUAGUUAUGUGUCUAUUUAGGGCUCCAGUGACCCCCAGACUUCCCUCUUCCCCAACCACCACUGUGGGAGCAGGGAUAGCAUGAAUCCCAGAGCUGAGACAGACAGUGAGAGUGAGAGGAAACCCAACACAACAAACUCCAAUGCUGAUUCAUUUAAACAAACUUCAGUUUAUAUCACAAAGAGCACAAGCACAGCAGUGUAAACUAGGUUAACCCUACAAAGCGGUGUGGCCAAUGUCCCGACUUCCCCAGACCAGAGAUGCGGACAGGCGCAUGGCUGACAUCUCCUGCGACCCCCCCCCCCUUUGCUCUCAACAAGCGCCUCUAUCCACUUCCAACAUCAGGUAAUUACCUCCCCCCCACCCACACACUCAGGGAAGUGCACCCUAGGUCCUGAGUCGAGGCCUCAUGCAUAUUUAAAUGCCCUGCCCCCAGGCGUCAGUCCGGGGGACGGGGGCUGCCUUCUUGUCAUUUCCAAAUUACCCACGAUGCCCUAGUGAGCCAAACUUUAUCGCCGGCUGUGUUUUUUUUUUUUUGGCCAUGUUGGGCUUUUUUUUGUUUUUUUGCCCACUGAGAGAGCCUCUUCUCGACGAGAGCUUACAAAAGCACUUCAGAGAGCUUAAAACUCCACAAAGUUCAUCUUCUCAGCCUCUUUGCUGAACGGCAUUUUUUAAAGAGGAAAAAAAAAAACAAAUCAUUUCAGCGCUCUCCAGGUUUCAGGCUGACGUGCGGGCAACUUUAAAAUAUGCCCAGGCCAUUAUUGUGA